RNAcentral lists this small RNA (105 nucleotides) under Marmota monax (woodchuck). The record is from RNAcentral. Lineage: Eukaryota; Metazoa; Chordata; Mammalia; Rodentia; Sciuridae.
GCCAGGUGUGGUGGUGCAUACCUGUAAUCCCAGCUACUCAGGAGGCUAAGGCAUGAGGAUCCUGAGUUUGAGGCCAGCCUGGGCAACUUAGUAAGACUGUCUUAG